This is a long non-coding RNA of Hyla sarda, 633 nucleotides long. RefSeq lists it as uncharacterized. Lineage: Eukaryota; Metazoa; Chordata; Amphibia; Anura; Hylidae. The record is from RefSeq and is a predicted model, not a curated record. The transcript has 3 exons.
UGACAUGUUGUAUCAUGUGUGCACACGGACUAUUUUCUCAAACAGAAGAAUAAACUCUAAUAGACAGCCAAUGAAGGGGAUGGAGCUUCUGGACAUCAAUGUUAGGAUUUUGGAAGAAGCAGGAACUCCACCAAUGAACAUAUGAAAUCCAAAGCGUUUAGUGGGAGUCAAAUACCGUCUGCAGGAGCAUCAGACACGGCACAGCCCCAGCACCUUAAUCCUUGACAGUGAGAAGCGCAUGUAAGAUGAGCCUGAUUCGCUGAGACCAGCACUGAUCAGCAGAACAAAGCUCCCCUGCUUUCAUCAAUGAGACUGACACAGGGAUGAGAUGUAUGUGACAGAGGGACAUUAUGGAGAAAAUGCUAAUUGUCCUGUGAAGUCAGGAAUUGGAAUUUCUACAGUACAGUAACAAAUAAUAAUCAAUUUACAUAAUACAUUUUCCUAUCCUUGUUGUGGUGACUGCAAGUUUCAUUCCAUGCGACAGCUGCUUUCAUAUUCUCAUAUACAGUAAGCAAAGAAGUGUGCAGUCCAUCAGACUACCUAAAGAACAAUCUCUGCAAAGAUAAAUAUUGCUAGAUAGCAGGGCUUCUACCUAAAAACAGUUAUUACCUCCACACUGAUCAUACUGGAAGC